UGUAGUCAUAUGCUUGUCUCAAAGAUUAAGCCAUGCAUGUCUAAGUAUAAGCAAUUAUACAGUGAAACUGCGAAUGGCGCAUUAAAUCAGUUAUCGUUUAUUUGAUAGUACCUUACUACUUGGAUAACCGUGGUAAUUCUAGAGCUAAUACAUGCUUAAAAUCCCGACUGUUUGGAAGGGAUGUAUUUAUUAGAUAAAAAAUCAAUGCCUUCGGGCUCUUUGAUGAUUCAUAAUAACUUUUCGAAUCGCAUGGCCUUGUGCUGGCGAUGGUUCAUUCAAAUUUCCGCCCUAUCAACUUUCGAUGGUAGGAUGGUGGCCUACCAUGGUUUCAACGGGUAACGGGGAAUAAGGGUUCGAUUCCGGAGAGGGAGCCUGGGAAACGGCUACCACAUCCAAGGAAGGCAGCAGGCGCGCAAAUUACCCAAUCCCGACACGGGGAGGUAGUGACAAUAAAUAACGAUACAGGGCCCUUUCGGGUCUUGUAAUUGGAAUGAGUACAA
This 500-nucleotide ribosomal RNA is filed under the name Lodderomyces parapsilosis. RNAcentral describes it as "SSU rRNA". It matches the Rfam family "Eukaryotic small subunit ribosomal RNA", at positions 21 to 523 of the family's 1831-position model. The record is from RNAcentral. Lineage: Eukaryota; Fungi; Ascomycota; Pichiomycetes; Serinales; Debaryomycetaceae.